CAAAGCGACUCCCGCCUCUGGGGAGCUGCCACCAUCCAUGCGCUGCUGUCUCCGCUGAAACAUCCGCGGCGUCCGUCUGGCUGCAGGAUAUCCCAUUGCUGUACAAUGUUGCUCUGCUUUAACCGAAAACACUGCAGAUAGUUUUCUGUAUUCAUUUGCUGUUUUCACCGGGAAAACAGAGAGUCAGAAAUGUGGCCUGUCAGAGGCUUAAGAGCAGAGGCUUGAGGGUACUGAGUUUUGCAGAGCUGGUGACUUGAACCUACCAGACAUCUGUUGAGAAGUCAACAUAGCAGAGGAGGGGCAGUCUAGAAGGUUCUUGCAGUGUGUGGAAGAACAACUUUUUGUCACAGCUGAAUUUCAAAAUACUGUGAGUUGGAAGGAACUCACCAGGAUCAUUGCGUCCAGCUCUGCAAUGAAUGGCUUGUAUGGGCGUCGAACCUGUAACCUUGGCAUUCUUACCACCACGCUUUGAUGCCGGAUAUAUGCAUGCAAUUUUCCCUGCUCAGCUGGCUUCUGCUCUAUGUUCCUGUUAGCAACAAAUCAAAUUAAAUAAAUGGAACAUAGCACACAUUACUCUGAAUUUCAAGACAUAACAUUUCUUAGAAGUCUCUCAAAAGCUGACAGCAAUUCUUUUGUUAUACCAUGUCAAUAAGCCCCAAAAUUGCCUGGCACAAAAAUGCAUUAUAGAUUAGCAUAAGGACUAAAGAGAUGUUGCUGCAAAUUUCUGGUCUAAUUUCCUGUACAACACAGGAAAUUAUCCUUUCAUCCCAGCUUGUGUGUUUUUCUAAAAGCUAUGCUCCAAUUAAAAAUAAAAUGAGUCA
Agelaius phoeniceus (red-winged blackbird) is the source of this 821-nucleotide long non-coding RNA. RefSeq lists it as uncharacterized. NCBI's taxonomy places the organism in Eukaryota, Metazoa, Chordata, Aves, Passeriformes, Icteridae. The record is from RefSeq and is a predicted model, not a curated record.